This 604-nucleotide ribosomal RNA is filed under the name Salmonella enterica. Its description in RNAcentral is "partial 23S ribosomal RNA". It matches the Rfam family "Bacterial large subunit ribosomal RNA", at positions 329 to 937 of the family's 2925-position model. The record is from RNAcentral. Lineage: Bacteria; Pseudomonadati; Pseudomonadota; Gammaproteobacteria; Enterobacterales; Enterobacteriaceae.
UUAGUGGAAGCGUCUGGAAAGGCGCGCGAUACAGGGUGACAGCCCCGUACACAAAAGCGCAUGUGCUGUGAGCUCGAUGAGUAGGGCGGGACACGUGGUAUCCUGUCUGAAUAUGGGGGGACCAUCCUCCAAGGCUAAAUACUCCUGACUGACCGAUAGUGAACCAGUACCGUGAGGGAAAGGCGAAAAGAACCCCGGCGAGGGGAGUGAAAAAGAACCUGAAACCGUGUACGUACAAGCAGUGGGAGCACCCUUUGGGGUGUGACUGCGUACCUUUUGUAUAAUGGGUCAGCGACUUAUAUUCUGUAGCAAGGUUAACCGAAUAGGGGAGCCGGAGGGAAACCGAGUCUUAAUUGGGCGUUAAGUUGCAGGGUAUAGACCCGAAACCCGGUGAUCUAGCCAUGGGCAGGUUGAAGGUUGGGUAACACUAACUGGAGGACCGAACCGACUAAUGUUGAAAAAUUAGCGGAUGACCUGUGGCUGGGGGUGAAAGGCCAAUCAAACCGGGAGAUAGCUGGUUCUCCCCGAAAGCUAUUUAGGUAGCGCCUCGUGAAUUCAUCUCCGGGGGUAGAGCACUGUUUCGGCUAGGGGGCCAUCCCGGCUU